GACGAACGCUGGCGGCGUGCUUAACACAUGCAAGUCGAGCGGAAAGGCCUCUUCGGGGGUACUCGAGCGGCGAACGGGUGAGUAACACGUGAGUAAUCUGCCCUUCACUUGGGGAUAACUUCCGGAAACGGUGGCUAAUACCCGAUAUGACCAUGGAUCGCAUGAUCUUGUGGUGGAAAGUUUUUUCGGUGGGGGAUGUGCUCGCGGCCUAUCAGCUUGUUGGUGGGGUAAUGGCCUACCAAGGCUUCGACGGGUAGCCGGCCUGAGAGGGUGACCGGCCACACUGGGACUGAGACACGGCCCAGACUCCUACGGGUGGCUG
Molecule: ribosomal RNA, 322 nt
Filed under: uncultured Actinomycetes bacterium
Lineage: Bacteria; Bacillati; Actinomycetota; Actinomycetes
Description: bacterial SSU rRNA
Rfam family: Bacterial small subunit ribosomal RNA
Source: RNAcentral